This 496-nucleotide ribosomal RNA is filed under the name uncultured bacterium. Its description in RNAcentral is "partial 16S ribosomal RNA". It matches the Rfam family "Bacterial small subunit ribosomal RNA", at positions 28 to 506 of the family's 1533-position model. The record is from RNAcentral.
GAUGAACGCUGGCGGCGUGCCUAAUACAUGCAAGUCGAGCGAACAGAUGAGGAGCUUGCUCCUCUGACGUUAGCGGCGGACGGGUGAGUAACACGUGGAUAACCUACCUAUAAGACUGGGAUAACUUCGGGAAACCGGAGCUAAUACCGGAUAAUAUAUUGAACCGCAUGGUUCAAUAGUGAAAGACGGUUUUGCUGUCACUUAUAGAUGGAUCCGCGCCGCAUUAGCUAGUUGGUAAGGUAACGGCUUACCAAGGCAACGAUGCGUAGCCGACCUGAGAGGGGGAUCGGCCACACUGGAACUGAGACACGGUCCAGACUCCUACGGGAGGCAGCAGGAGGGAAUCUUCCGCAAUGGGCGAAAGCCUGACGGAGCAACGCCGCGUGAGUGAUGAAGGUCUUCGGAUCGUAAAACGCUGUUAUUAGGGAAGAACAAAUGUGUAAGUAACGAUGCACGUCUUGACGGUACCGAAUCAGAAAGCCACGGCUAACUACGU